RNA transcript from Cavia porcellus (domestic guinea pig), 6501 nucleotides. It is a transcript of the gene named nuclear factor related to kappaB binding protein, with no coding region annotated. The record is from RefSeq and is a predicted model, not a curated record. NCBI's taxonomy places the organism in Eukaryota, Metazoa, Chordata, Mammalia, Rodentia, Caviidae. The transcript has 28 exons.
GUGCUCCAGGAGGGUUCCGGUGGGAAGGUCAGCCCGCGGCAGAGGACAGGCCUCUGGGGAAGGGCUCUGUGGUCUUCGUGAGGAAGUCCAGGACUCUCCGAGGCUUGGAAACCCAGAGCUUCCGGAGCUCAGCUCCUGGCUGGCUGCUUGCUUUUUGCGUUUGGAGAGCCUAUUCAGGACGGCACCCUUGGGCCGAGGGUGUCACUGAAAUAAGUGAAAUUUAGCUGCAUACCGCGGUGGCUGUAGAAACUUGUAAACAGUUUGUGCACACUGUGUAUAUAGGUGUCAGAAAGGACACUCACUUUGGAGUUACUAGUCUCUUCCGUGCUAGUUCUGCUGAGAGGACUUUCUUCUAAGCAUCAGAUUACUUCUGUGUUGUUUUUUUCCCCCCACCUGUAUUAAAGGUGGAAUUCUGGUUCUCAGGCCUUAUCUUCUUACCUGCCUAAGUUACUUAGGCGCCGGCCUUCUUCUGGGCACCCUCUUCGCUUCAUGUGCUGCCAGCUGCGGGCCCACCGCUUGGGGACCGCCCAGAUGCCUUGAUCUGACCCUGAUCUUACUGCGGCAUCUUUACCUACACCAGAAACCUCUUCAAGAGAACUGGACAUGGUUUUGUGGAAAGGUGUUCAUUUUAGUUGUAGUGUUACAAGCGUGCUUUUUAUGAUUUAAAAGUUUGGGGAGAAGUACCUACAUUAAAUAAAAUAAAUUUAAUGAAGAUUAUUCAUUGCAGGAUUUCAAGAUUGGAAUUAAUAGUAGGGAGGACUUGGCCCCAUAGCCUCUUUAUUUUAUGAAGAAGGAAAUUGACACCCGGUGGGAUAAGGGUACUGUGGAGGAGCAGCAAUGGAUUCCUUGGACCAUAUGCUGACGGACCCUCUGGAGCUGGGUCCGUGUGGAGAUGGCCAAGGCACCAGGAUUAUGGAGGACUGCCUGUUGGGAGGCACCAGAGUGAGCCUGCCUGAAGACCUGCUGGAGGAUCCUGAGAUAUUCUUUGAUGUUGUCAGCCUCUCGACGUGGCAAGAAGUACUAAGUGACUCCCAGCGUGAGCACCUCCAGCAGUUUCUGCCUCACUUCCCCUCAGACAGCACAGAGCAGCAGAACGAGCUCAUCCUAGCGCUGUUCAGUGGGGAGAACUUCCGCUUUGGGAACCCUCUGCACAUCGCCCAGAAGCUUUUCCGAGAUGGAUACUUUAACCCUGAGGUGGUCAAAUACCGGCAGCUAUGCUUCAAGUCACAGUACAAGAGAUACCUCAGCUCGCAGCAGCAGUAUUUCCACCGGCUGCUGAAGCACAUUCUUGCUUCCCGGAGUGAUCUGCUGGAGAUGGCCCGCAGGAGUGGCCCGGCCCUGCCCUUCCGACACAAGCGCCCUUCACCGUCCCGCAGCCCCGAGGAGCGGGAGUGGCGCACCCAGCAGCGCUAUCUGAAGGUUUUGAGGGAAGUGAAGGAGGAGUGUGGUGACACAGCUCUGUCGUCUGACGAAGAGGCCACGUUGGAUUUACAAGAAAAAUUUUCUUUUGAAGAUCUCAGCUCAUGGCUUCCGAGCUCUCCAGCACGUUCUCCUAGCCCCGCGGUACCCCUGAGGGUGGUGCCCACACUUUCCACCAUGGACAUGAAAACUGCAGAUAAAAUAGAACUUGGGGACAGUGACCUGAAGAUAAUGCUAAAGAAGCAUCAUGAGAAGCGGAAACAUCAGCCAGAUCACCCGGACCUUUUGACAGGGGACCUGACUCUCAGUGACAUCAUGACCCGAGUAAAUGCUGGCAAGAAGGGCUCUCUAGCAGCCUUAUAUGACUUGGCUGUCCUUAAAAAAAAAGCAAAGGAAAAGGAGGAAAGGAAGAAAAAGAAAAUAAAGCUAGUCAAAUCGGAGGCAGAAGACUUGGCUGAGCCUCUGAGUGGUACUGAAGGGGUUCCAGCUCUCUCGCAGGCCCCGUCUCCGCUGGCAGUACCCGCUAUAAAGGAAGAGCCCUUAGAAGACCUCAAGCCUUGCCUUGGAAUCAAUGAGAUAUCUUCUAGUUUCUUUUCUCUUCUGUUAGAGAUCUUGCUGCUGGAGAAUCAGGCUAGCCUUCCUAUGCUGGAAGAGCGUGUUUUGGAUUGGCAGUCAUCUCCAGCCAGUUCCCUCAAUAGCUGGUUUUCUGCGGCCCCCAACUGGGCUGAGUUGGUGUUGCCUGCCCUGCAGUAUCUUGCUGGAGAAAGCCGAGCUGUUCCUUCCAGUUUCUCUCCAUUCGUUGAAUUCAAAGAGAAAACCCAGCAGUGGAAAUUGCUUGGUCAGUCCCAGGAUAAUGAAAAAGAGUUAGCUGCACUGUUCCAGCUAUGGCUAGAGACAAAAGACCAGGCCUUCUGUAAGCAAGAAAAUGAAGACAGCUCAGAUGCCACGACCCCUGUCCCUCGGGUAAGAACUGACUAUGUGGUGCGGCCCAGCACAGGCGAGGAGAAGCGGGUGUUUCAGGAGCAGGAGCGGUACAGAUACAGCCAGCCCCACAAGGCAUUCACCUUCCGCAUGCACGGCUUCGAGUCAGUGGUGGGGCCAGUGAAGGGUGUGUUUGACAAGGAGACCUCCCUCAACAAGGCCCGAGAACACUCCCUGCUGCGCUCGGACCGUCCGGCCUAUGUCACCAUCCUGUCUCUUGUGCGGGAUGCUGCGGCCCGGCUGCCUAACGGGGAAGGCACGCGGGCAGAGAUCUGUGAGCUGCUCAAGGACUCGCAGUUUCUUGCUCCAGACGUCACCAGCACUCAGGUGAACACAGUCGUGAGUGGUGCCCUGGAUCGCCUACAUUAUGAAAAAGACCCUUGUGUAAAGUAUGACAUUGGACGAAAGUUGUGGAUCUACCUGCAUCGUGACCGGAGUGAGGAGGAGUUUGAGAGGAUUCACCAAGCACAAGCAGCUGCAGCUAAAGCCAGGAAAGCCCUUCAGCAGAAGCCCAAGCCCCCUUCCAAGGUGAAAUCCAGUAACAAGGAGAGCUCCAUGAAGGUCCUGAGCAGUGGCACUUCGGAGCAGAGCCAGAUGAGUCUCAGUGACUCCAGCAUGCCGCCUACCCCAGUCACACCCGUGACGCCCACCACACCAGCAUUGCCUGCUACACCCAUCUCCCCUCCUCCUGUGUCAUCAGUGAACAAAAGUGGUCCUACUUCUGUCUCUGAACCAGCAAAGUCUAGCUCAGGUGUUCUUCUGGUGUCCUCGCCAACAAUGCCACAGUUAGGAACGAUGCUUUCCCCAGCGUCCAGCCAGACUCCACCCAGUUCUCAGGCGCCUGCCCGGGUUGUGAGCCACUCUGGCUCUGCUGGGCUGCCCCAGGUGCGAGUGGUGGCCCAGCCCAGCCUUCCUGCUGUGCCCCAGCAGCCAGCAGGGCCAGCACCGACACUGCCACAGAUGCCAGCAGGACCACAGAUCCGGGUGCCAGCCACUGCCACACAGACCAAAGUAGUGCCCCAGGCCGUCAUGACCACUGUUCCUGUCAAAGCGCAGUCUACAGCAGCUACUGUGCAGCGGCCUGGCCCUGGGCAGACUGGGCUUACUGUGACAAGUCUCCCUGCCGCAGCCAGCCCUGUGAGCAAGCCAGCCACGAGUUCUCCCGGAAGCUCGGCUCCAAGUGCCUCCACAACUGCUGUCAUUCAAAACGUUACAGGGCAGAACAUUAUCAAGCAGGUGGCUAUCACUGGGCAGCUUGGUGUGAAGCCCCAGACAGGCAACAGCAUUCCACUCACAGCCACUAACUUCCGUAUCCAGGGUAAGGAUGUGCUGCGGCUGCCUCCCUCCUCUAUCACCACAGAUGCUAAGGGCCAGACGGUUCUGCGAAUCACUCCGGACAUGAUGGCCACGUUGGCCAAGUCCCAGGUUACCACUGUCAAAUUGACCCAGGACCUCUUCGGGACAGGAAGUGGCACUGCAGGCAAAGGCAUCUCUGCUACCCUACAUGUCACCUCCAAUCCUGUGCAUGCUGCCGAGAGCCCUGCCAGGGCCAGCUCUGCCAGUGCGCCUGCCUCCGCCCCAGCAGGUACCACCGUGGUCAAAGUGACACCUGACCUCAAGCCGACAGAAGCCUCAAGCUCAGCUUUUCGAUUGAUGCCAGCCUUGGGCAUGAGCGUGGCAGAUCAGAAGGGAAAAAACACAGUGGCCUCGUCAGAAGCAAAACCAGCUGCCACAAUCCGCAUCGUGCAGGGCCUGGGUGUGAUGCCUCCCAAAGCAGGCCAGACCAUCACCGUUGCAGCCCAUGCCAAGCCAGGGGCCUCAGUAGCCAGCGGGUCUGGAACUGUCCAUUCUCCAGCAGUGUCUUUGCCUAGUAUGAGCGCUGCCAUGUCCAAGACUGUGGCUGUGGCUUCUGGGGCCACAAGCACCCCCAUCAGCAUCGGGACAGGAGCCCCCACUGUGCGGCAAGUCCCUGUCGGCACCACAGUUGUGUCCACGUCCCAGGCUGGGAAGCUGCCUACCCGGAUCACAGUGCCGCUGUCGGUGAUUAGCCAGCCAAUGAAGGGCAAGAGCGUGGUCACGGCCCCCAUCAUCAAAGGCAACCUUGGAGCCAACCUCAGUGGCUUGGGCCGCAAUAUCAUUCUCACAACCAUGCCAGCAGGUACCAAGCUCAUCGCUGGCAACAAACCUGUCAGCUUCCUCACUGCACAGCAGCUACAGCAGCUUCAGCAGCAAGGUCAGGCCACACAGGUGCGCAUCCAGACUGUUCCCGCCUCCCACCUCCAGCAGGGCACAGCAGCUGGUUCCUCCAAAGCUGUCUCCACUGUUGUGGUGACCACUGCUCCAUCUCCUAAACAGGCACCUGAACAGCAAUGACUGAGAGUGGCUUCCAUAAGGGAGCACACCUGAUCUGUUCUGGCUGGAAGGCAGGCAGCAGGGGACUGUGUCUGCCCCGAGCUGGUCUGUCUGAGGCAGGCCAGCGGGAAGAGGAAGGCGAGAAUGGCCUGGGUUCUGCUGCUGUGCUCCAGGUCAAACCCCAGCUCGGGCUGACUGCCUUGCACCAGUCCAGGGGAAGGUUCCGGUAGAGUGGGGAGAUCCCGGUUCCAGCAUAGAAGCCAAAGUUCUCUCCUGAGAGUAGGGAAGGCUUACAGGGUGGGCAGGCAGUGAAUGAGCCUCGUUGGACAUGACAGCUGUAUUUUUUAGCCUCUGGUCUUUAUGACUUGAGGUCUUGAUAUGAGAUUUGUGUCCAGAAAAUUUUAUGUAACUUAUUUUUUUAAAGAAUCUAUCGUACAUCUUUGUCAAAUAGAAGCCUGGGCUCUAGGGCUGCCUGUACCCCGAGCUGAUAAGUUACUCUUUUGGCUAGAAUGAGAAAAUAGCAAGAAGUUUGUUAAGUUGGUAUAAUUGCAAGGCUGUGAGGUGGGAAACUGUGAAGUGAGGUGGUGCGGGUUCCCUGAAGCAGGAUUAGUUUGGCCCUGCCUCUUGAAGAGGCUUGGAACUAAUCAUGGUCCCUGCUUUUAUGCUCCAACACGGACUGCGGAAGAGCCAUUCACACGAAGCCCAGAGCCGUGGAACGGGCAGAGGAGUGACAGCAGGAUGCUGCUUUUGUAGUACAGACUUGUAUGUCGUCGUCUUCGGCUAACUGUGAAGAUGUGUCUGAGUUGAAGAAGAGAACAAGAUGAGAAUCCGGGUUCCUGAUCCUACAUUCCCUUUCUGCUGCCUUCUGAGGGAGGUGGCUGGGAUACUGCGGACAUUAAUGGAGAAGUGGACACGAGGAGAAUAAAAAGGCCAUCUAAACCCAUUCCUGUGCCUGUGUUUUCAGACAUCAUGUCACCCUGAGGACUUCCCCUGGGCAUGUGCAAAGGCCCUAUGGAGACCAUUGGUGGGAGUAUUCACCUGCCAGAACCAGGUUCCCUGGAAGAUGAGGAUGCUGGUUCGGAAUAGUUCCAGCACAAUGUUGUCCCGAAAGAUCACCUCUAGGGCUAUACUGAUACUUGCUCCAAACAAAGCAAACAGCAGGAGUGAAUGGAUGUGUUUGUCCAGCGGAGGUCUGUCAUGAACAUGGUAGUAGAAGAGAAAACCUACAGUGAACCAAAGGACACUCAUCAGAGACUUGCUUUUUUCCACUUGCAGAUGAUUACCCUGGGCUGUUCGACUAUUGGGAUUUCCUCCUAUCCCUGUCUCAAGGCUAGGUUCUUUAGCAUUUGGGAAGUCAGUUUAUGUAACAUUGCAAGGCAACAAACAGAUGCAUGUAAUUUUGUGGGUAUAAAGACUAGCAGAAAACGUAACUUCUGAGUAUCUACAGAAUCCAUGGUAGGAGUCUGACUUUAUAGUCUACAGCAGGUAUUUCAUUAUAAGGACAGAAGCUGACUAGUACAGUGGGUCUCCUAAGAUUUGUCUUGGAGGCUGGACAGUAACACUGCAGGGUGUGAGCUGUAGAGUUUUUCUUCCAAACCAAAAGGGCUACUCUCCCACUUCCCGGAGCAUUGAGCCACUUCUGUGAAGGUCCUUGUGACUGCUUUAUUUGUGAACGUUUGUACUCUGAUCCUCAUACAUUGUGUAUGUCUCUCUAUUACCUUCAAUAAAGACUGCCAUCGCCAAAACCAA